This 253-nucleotide ribosomal RNA is filed under the name uncultured bacterium. RNAcentral's name for it is "partial 16S ribosomal RNA". It matches the Rfam family "Bacterial small subunit ribosomal RNA", at positions 524 to 776 of the family's 1533-position model. The record is from RNAcentral.
UACGUAGGGGGCAAGCGUUGUCCGGAUUUAUUGGGCGUAAAGAGCGUGUAGGCGGUCAGGUAGGUCCGUUGUGAAAACUCGAGGCUCAACCUCGAGACGCCGAUGGAAACCAUCUGACUAGAGUCCGGAAGAGGAGAGUGGAAUUCCUGGUGUAGCGGUGAAAUGCGCAGAUAUCAGGAAGAACACCCGUGGCGAAGGCGGCUCUCUGGAACGCAACUGACGCUGAGACGCGAAAGCGUGGGGAGCGAACAGG